Molecule: ribosomal RNA, 475 nt
Filed under: Burkholderiaceae bacterium L448_HBt
Lineage: Bacteria; Pseudomonadati; Pseudomonadota; Betaproteobacteria; Burkholderiales; Burkholderiaceae
Description: bacterial SSU rRNA
Rfam family: Bacterial small subunit ribosomal RNA
Source: RNAcentral
CGGUCGCAAGAUUAAAACUCAAAGGAAUUGACGGGGACCCGCACAANCGGUGGAUGAUGUGGAUUAAUUCGAUGCAACGCGAAAAACCUUACCUACCCUUGACAUGUAUGGAACCUGGCUGAGAGGCUGGGGUGCUCGAAAGAGAGCCAUAACACAGGUGCUGCAUGGCUGUCGUCAGCUCGUGUCGUGAGAUGUUGGGNUAAGUCCCGCAACGAGCGCAACCCUUGUCCUUAGUUGCUACGCCAAGAGCACUNUAGGGAGACUGCCGGUGACAAACCGGAGGAAGGUGGGGAUGACGUCAAGUCCUCAUGGCCCUUAUGGGUAGGGCUUCACACGUCAUACAAUGGUCGGANCCAGAGGGCUGCCAACCCGCCGAGGGGGAGCUAAUCCCAGAAAACCGAUCGUAGUCCGGAUCGCACUCUGCAAACUCGAGUGCGUGAAGCUGGAAUCGCUAGUAAUGCGCUGGAUCAGCAUG